GAUAAACGCUGGCGGCGCACAUAAGACAUGCAAGUCGAACGGACUUAACCAUUAGUUUACUAUUGGAGCGGUUAGUGGCGGACUGGUGAGUAACACGUAAGCAAUCUGCCUAUCAGAGGGGAACAACAGUUAGAAAUGACUGCUAAUACCGCAUAUGCCUAAGUACCACAUGGUACAAUAGGGAAAGGAGCAAUCCGCUGAUAGAUGAGCUUGCGUCUGAUUAGAUAGUUGGUGGGGUAACGGCCUACCAAGUCUACGAUCAGUAGCCGGACUGAGAGGUUGAACGGCCACAUUGGGACUGAGAUACGGCCCAGACUCCUACGGGAGGCAGCAGUCGGGAAUAUUGCGCAAUGGAGGAAACUCUGACGCAGUGACGCCGCGUAUAGGAAGAAGGUUUUCGGAUUGUAAACUAUUGUCGUUAGGGAAGAUACAAGACAGUACCUAAGGAGGAAGCCCCGGCUAACCUAUAGUG
RNAcentral lists this ribosomal RNA (472 nucleotides) under uncultured bacterium. RNAcentral describes it as "bacterial SSU rRNA". It matches the Rfam family "Bacterial small subunit ribosomal RNA", at positions 28 to 509 of the family's 1533-position model. The record is from RNAcentral.